RNAcentral lists this small RNA (2172 nucleotides) under Pyricularia oryzae. RNAcentral describes it as "Magnaporthe oryzae sRNA M_BR32_EuGene_00147481". The record is from RNAcentral. Lineage: Eukaryota; Fungi; Ascomycota; Sordariomycetes; Magnaporthales; Pyriculariaceae.
UAAAUCCAAAUAUUUUAUGAUUAUUUCUUUUAACAAAUGCCUGUUAAUAAAUUCUAAAUUACAAUAUAUUAAUAUUUUAAAAACCCAUUCUAACAAAUUAUACAUAUUAAAAAACAAAGGUUUUGCAACUUAUUUUUUAAACGUUUAAAUUAUAAAAGAUGAAUUUAACCGCCUAUUUUGCCUUUAGAAAAGUUAAUAUGUAAUAGAAAUACUAGCAACGUUCGGAUUAAUUAAUUGGAAACCUAUUUUUAUUUCUUUAUAACCGGGUAUAUUGAAAUAGAACCGGGGUAAACCCGUAAAUGCGCUGGAAAUUAAAUUAUUACAACGUAUUAUCGGUACCCUAAUAUAUUUAAUAUUAUUAAAGCGCCCGGAUAUUGGUUUUGCGAUUUAAGAAUCAUUUCGUUUUUUAAUAAAAACUAUUAUAAUCCAUUUAACGGCAGCUAAAAACCUAUGUCACUAUUUAGCAGGUAUUAAAUCCCUAAUAAUUUGCUAUGGAAAUAGGGUAAUUAAAACCAAUUUACCACCUAAUCUUUUAAUUGGGGGUUUUAAAGGCCUAAAAUUAUUUGGUUUUAAUAACAGCGAUUUUGCCGGGGCUAGAUAAAAUUUAAACUUUAUUUACGGAUAUUUAUAUAUUUUAUUUGGGGGGCCUAUAUUCUGUAAAUGCAAAAAUGCUAAUAUUUUAAUUUUCAAUAUUUUAAAAACCGAAAGUAAUAUUUUAAUAAAAACCCUGCGUAAAAUAUAAUAACUUAAAAACCUUUUAAUUAAUAUUAUAUAUUAAUAACGUAUUAAAUAUACGUUAUAAAAGUUUUAUUAUAUACGAAAAUUAAUUACAAAAGAAUUAAUAAAUUUAAAAUAUUUGCAAUUUUAACAAAUAAUUGUUUAUAAUCUUACAAAACCCCUAACGUAUCCAAUUUACAAAGUUUUUUCAAAACCUAUCAAAUUUAAACUCCGGUAAAUCUUUUUGUUAUUUAUUAAAACUUAAAAUACCCAAUUAGUCCGUUUGCUAAUUAUUAUUACGGCCAGGUGUAUAUUGGAAAACCUUAGGGUAUUAGGCGCUUUCGAUGGAAAUUUUAAAUUAAAGAGAAGAGAGAAAUUACAAUUGACGACGCGCUGGACAGACGCGCUUAAAUCCGGAGUUAGUGGACCCUUUGUCCGAUCCCUAGUUCGGCGUGGAACCGAGCUGUAAUUCUAAGGGUAGGUCUGGGGGCCUAAUCCUUACAAUUAUAAUUAUUAUUUUCUUUUAUAUGCAGUUAUUGGAUUUUUUUGGCUCAAUUCUAACCGUUUUACCCGAGCUUACCCUGCACAGGUUAAUUAAUAUACCGUUAAAACCGAUUUAAUAUCCGAGGUUAAAUCCGAAUUAAACUAGUACGCGUUUUGGGCGAUUUACCAAUUCGAAACAAUUUAUAUAUUAAAUUUGUCUGGAAUGUUAAAUAAUAAACAACCAAAUUAACUAUUUAAUCUACUUAUUAAUUCCGUGGGUUAUAAUUUAUAAGUUGUGGGUUCGAAUUUGGGGGUUAUUAUAAUUUCAAGGGUUUUUUCAAUUCGGGGGUUUUAUUACGCUUAAAAUAUUAAAAUAACCUAUUUUUAUAAUAAUACAUAGUGAGUUAAAACAGCUGAGCGUUUAAUUGGGUAAUUGGGGUUCCUAAUAGGUUAAAAUAAAAUUAUAAUCGAUUAUAUAACGAGGUUAAUUACUGCUAAACAAUUUUAAAAUUGAGUUUAUUAAUACGGUAAUAAGCGCGCCUUAUAUAAAUUAUAUUAUAAAUAUAAUUUAUUUUAGUUCCUACAAAUUAAUUAAAUUACUUUUUGCCGCUAAUGUUAAUUUUUACAAACUAAUAAAAAUUAUUUUGGGGUAAUUACGUAACACUACGUAAUUUGUUUGGGCGGGUGUCGUUAGUAGGGGUAUAACCUCGCCUGGUUCCCUCUGGUUCCGGCCCAAUUAUUUAAUUGUAACAAACUUAUUUAAUUUGGGGUUUAAUUAUCCAGGGGGUUUAUAUCGGGGGUUUUAAUCGGGUUAGAAUAUAAAAGGGAGUUUUUAUUUUAUUUUUUAUAUAAAAUAGCAAAGUAAAAGGGGGUUUUAAUUAUAUACUCUUUUUUAUAUAUAAUAAAUCCAAUUUUAUUUAUAUAUAAUUUAUAAUAUAUAACGCCGAAAUAGGGUUAUUAAAAUUUUAUUAA